CCAGACUCCUACGGGAGGCAGCAGUGGGGGAUAUUGCACAAUGGGGGGAACCCUGAUGCAGCGACGCCGCGUGGGUGAAGAAGCGCCUCGGCGCGUAAAGCCCUGUCAGCAGGGAAGAAAAUGACGGUACCUGAAGAAGAAGCCCCGGCUAACUACGUGCCAGCAGCCGCGGUAAUACGUAGGGGGCAAGCGUUAUCCGGAUUUACUGGGUGUAAAGGGAGCGUAGACGGUAGAGCAAGUCUGAAGUGAAAGCCCGCGGCUCAACUGCGGGACUGCUUUGGAAACUGUUCAACUGGAGUGCUGGAGAGGUAAGCGGAAUUCCUAGUGUAGCGGUGAAAUGCGUAGAUAUCAGGAGGAACACCGGCGGCGAAGGCGGCCUGCUGGACCGUGACUGACGUUGAGGCUCGAGAGCGUGGGGAGCAAACAGGAUUAGAUACCCGCGUAC
Molecule: ribosomal RNA, 445 nt
Filed under: uncultured bacterium
Lineage: Bacteria
Description: partial 16S ribosomal RNA
Rfam family: Bacterial small subunit ribosomal RNA
Source: RNAcentral